RNAcentral lists this transfer RNA (34 nucleotides) under Contia tenuis. RNAcentral's name for it is "partial tRNA-Leu". The record is from RNAcentral. Lineage: Eukaryota; Metazoa; Chordata; Lepidosauria; Squamata; Dipsadidae.
ACCAAAGGUUAAUAGUAUUCCACUGGUCUUAGGC